This 406-nucleotide unclassified non-coding RNA is filed under the name soil metagenome. RNAcentral describes it as "partial contains 5.8S ribosomal RNA, internal transcribed spacer 2, and large subunit ribosomal RNA". The stretch from base 1 to 121 matches the Rfam family "5.8S ribosomal RNA", at positions 35 to 154 of the family's 154-position model. The record is from RNAcentral.
GAUGAAGAACGCAGCGAAAUGCGAUAAGUAAUGUGAAUUGCAGAAUUCAGUGAAUCAUCGAAUCUUUGAACGCACCUUGCGCCCUUUGGCUAUUCCGAAGGGCAUGCCUGUUUGAGUAUCAUGAACACCUCAACUCUCAUGGUUUUUCCAUGAUGGGCUUGGACUUUGGGGGUCUUGCUGGCCUAUGGUCAGCUCCUCUUAAACGAAUCAGCUUGCCAGUGUUUGGUGUGGCAUCACAGGUGUGAUAACUAUCUACGCUUGUGGUUUUCCAUCAAGUAACCUUCAGUGAUGGAGGUUCGCUGGGGCUCAUAAAGGCCUCUCCUCGGUGAGGAUGGCUCCUUUGAACGUUUGAUCUCAAAUCAGGUAGGACUACCCGCUGAACUUAAGCAUAUCAAUAAGCGGAGGA